Long non-coding RNA from Gorilla gorilla gorilla (western lowland gorilla), 1119 nucleotides. RefSeq lists it as uncharacterized. The record is from RefSeq and is a predicted model, not a curated record. The transcript has 4 exons. Lineage: Eukaryota; Metazoa; Chordata; Mammalia; Primates; Hominidae.
UUAGAACUCUGCUUUCUAAAAGACCUCUAAGUUUGAAAAAUCAGUCCCUAUGAUCUGAUACAGAUUAGCUUGAAGGGGGAAGAAAAACUUUUUCAGGUGAUGUUUGUCUGCUAAAAGGACACUGGUCUUUCUAAGAAAGAAGCAGAAUGAGUUUAUUUUUAAAGUGAACUUGAUGGGGGGAAGGAGAAGCAAAGGCAUAUAAACAAUAUAGCAAUGACGCAAGACAUAGACAAGACUGACCAAUGGAAAGAGGAAACCACAAAGAUCUAAAAGGACACCAAAAAAAAAAAAAAAACAAAAACACGAAACCUGACUUCACUUAUUUUCCCCCAGAUAUUGGUGCUGCAAAUUUAUUUUAAAUGGAGGCAGGCUGGCUUUUUACUAAAAGAUGAAGAAAAGGAACCAAUUAAAAUAGAAACUCCUUCCCAGGUAGAAUCAGAAAUAAAGCAGCCUCAUUUAACGUCAACUUACAUUCCUUCAUCUGUGGAUGCUUUGCUCUCUGGCUUGGUUCUUUUGGAUAAUAAUGCCAAGGUCCUACCCAUCACAGGAAUCGUGAUUGGAAUCCACCAGCCCAGCACCCCGUACUCUGGUGCCCCAAGUGAUUACAUGUGAGCCUCCCAGAAAGAACAAAUAUUGCUCUUGCCACUCCUCUCCAAUGCUGACAGGACUGAGUCCUGGGGCAAGUGGAUCCGGGAAUUGCAUUGCAGACAAUUUCGCAGUAAUUCCCUGUCUGGAGAAGCACACCAGUUAACACUAGACUGUCACAGCCCUAGGAGAGCUGUAGGUAUGCAUCAUGGCUUCUGUGAUCUCAGAACUGUUUCUCUGACCAGCAAAAGAAGAGAUGAAAAUGCUCCUCUUGACCUCUAUCUGCACUACACCAGAAACGUCAUUGAGCCAGUUUCUUCUAAGGAGAUAACAGAAACUUUCUAUGCAAGGCUGUGGGGGGCUGGUAAUAUAAGGCUAGGAGGAUAAAGCUCCUUACUAAUAAACAAGCUGACACUGAAUAACAUGGCAUCUAUGUGGAACAUGGUUUGAAAACAUUUUAAGACCAUUCAUAGACAUCUGAGACCACUCAUAGUUUCUUCCUCCCAAGGCUGUGAAAUAAAAUUCAAAAGUACA